RNAcentral lists this ribosomal RNA (405 nucleotides) under uncultured bacterium. Its description in RNAcentral is "bacterial SSU rRNA". It matches the Rfam family "Bacterial small subunit ribosomal RNA", at positions 28 to 417 of the family's 1533-position model. The record is from RNAcentral.
GACGAACGCUGGCGGUGUGCCUCAAACAUGCAAGUCGAGGGAGGGUUGGCGUCUGGCUUGCCAGACGUUCAACUCUACCGGCGAACGGGUGAGUAACACGUGGGCAAUCUGCCCUGAAGACGGGGACAACCUCGGGAAACCGUGGCUAAUACCCGAUACCCUCCUUGGGGGGCAUCCCCUGGGGAAGGAAAGGUCCGCAAGGUCCGCUUCAGGAGGAGCCCGCGGCCUAUCAGCUUGUUGGUGGGGUCACGGCCACCAAGGCUAUGACGGGUAGCUGGUCUGAGAGGACGAUCAGCCACACUGGGACUGAGACACGGCCCAGACUCCUACGGGAGGCAGCAGUGGGGAAUCUUGCGCAAUGGGCGAAAGCCUGACGCAGCGACGCCGCGUGAGGGAUGACGGCCU